CCAGACUCCUACGGGAGGCAGCAGUGAGGAAUAUUGGUCAAUGGUCGGGAGACUGAACCAGCCAAGCCGCGUGAGGGAGGAAGGUACAGAGUAUCGUAAACCUCUUUUGUCAGGGAACAAAGACUGGGACGCGUCCCCGGAUGAGUGUACCUGAAGAAAAAGCAUCGGCUAACUCCAUGCCAGCAGCCGCGGUAAUACGGAGGAUGCGAGCGUUAUCCGGAUUUAUUGGGUUUAAAGGGUGCGUAGGCGGAAUGCCAAGUCAGCGGUAAAAUCGCGGGGCUCAACCUCGCUCCGCCGUUGAAACUGUGUCCCUUGAGUGCGCGAAGGGUAGGCGGAAUGCGUGGUGUAGCGGUGAAAUGCUUAGAUAUUGCGCAGAACUCCGAUUGCGAAGGCAGCAUACCGGCGGCGAUCUGACGCUGAGGCACGAAAGCGUGGGUAUCGAACAGGAUUAGAUACCCCCGUAUU
Molecule: ribosomal RNA, 465 nt
Filed under: uncultured bacterium
Lineage: Bacteria
Description: bacterial SSU rRNA
Rfam family: Bacterial small subunit ribosomal RNA
Source: RNAcentral